Molecule: ribosomal RNA, 475 nt
Filed under: uncultured bacterium
Lineage: Bacteria
Description: bacterial SSU rRNA
Rfam family: Bacterial small subunit ribosomal RNA
Source: RNAcentral
GAUGAACGCUGGCGGCGUGCCUAACACAUGCAAGUCGAGCGGGGUUGAGGCGAGAGGUAACUCGAACUUCUACCUAGCGGCGGACGGGUGAGUAACGCGUGGGCAACCUGCCUCAAGGUUUGGGAUAACAGCCCGAAAGGGCUGCUAAUACCGGAUAUGCCUAUGGCCUCGCAUGGGGCUAUGAGCAAAGGGGAAACCCGCCUUGAGAUGGGCCCGCGUCCCAUCAGCUAGUUGGUGAGGUGAAGGCUCACCAAGGCGACGACGGGUAGCCGGCCUGAGAGGGUGACCGGCCACACUGGGACUGAGACACGGCCCAGACUCCUACGGGGGGCAGCAGUGGGGAAUCUUGCACAAUGGGCGAAAGCCUGAUGCAGCGACGCCGCGUGAGCGAAGAAGGCCUUCGGGUUGUAAAGCUCUGUCUGGAGGGACGAAGGAAGUGACGGUACCUCCGGAGGAAGCCACGGCUAACUACGUG